GAGUUUGAUCAUGGCUCAGAUUGAACGCUGGCGGCAGGCCUAGCACAUGCAAGUCGAGCGGCAGCACGGGUACUUGUACCUGGUGGCGAGCGGCGGACGGGUGAGUAAUGCCUAGGAAUCUGCCUGGUAGUGGGGGAUAACGCUCGGAAACGGACGCUAAUACCGCAUGCGUCCUACGGGAGAAAGCAGGGGACCUUCGGGCCUUGCGCUAUCAGAUGAGCCUAGGUCGGAUUAGCUAGUUGGUGAGGUAAUGGCUCACCAAGGCGACGAUCCGUAACUGGUCUGAGAGGAUGAUCAGUCACACUGGAACUGAGACACGGUCCAGACUCCUACGGGAGGCAGCAGCGGGGAAUAUUGGACAAUGGGCGAAAGCCUGAUCCAGCCAUGCCGCGUGUGUGAAGAAGGUCUUCGGAUUGUAAAGCACUUUAAGUUGGGAGGAAGGGCAGUAAAUUAAUACUUUGCUGUUUUGACGUUACCGACAGAAUAAGCACCGGCUAACUCUGUGCCAGCAGCCGCGGUAAUACAGAGGGUGCAAGCGUUAAUCGGAAUUACUGGGCGUAAAGCGCGCGUAGGUGGUUUGUUAAGUUGGAUGUGAAAUCCCCGGGCUCAACCUGGGAACUGCAUUCAAAACUGACAAGCUAGAGUAUGGUAGAGGGUGGUGGAAUUUCCUGUGUAGCGGUGAAAUGCGUAGAUAUAGGAAGGAACACCAGUGGCGAAGGCGACCACCUGGACUGAUACUGACACUGAGGUGCGAAAG
This 757-nucleotide ribosomal RNA is filed under the name Pseudomonas sp. enrichment culture clone 14.5. Its description in RNAcentral is "bacterial SSU rRNA". It matches the Rfam family "Bacterial small subunit ribosomal RNA", at positions 9 to 759 of the family's 1533-position model. Lineage: Bacteria; Pseudomonadati; Pseudomonadota; Gammaproteobacteria; Pseudomonadales; Pseudomonadaceae. The record is from RNAcentral.